UGUAAAAAAUGAGGUUCUUGAUUUCUGAGGAUCUAGACGAUUUGCCUUCCUACUGCUUCUGCUUUUCACUAUAUAAGUGAAAAGACCUCAAAAGCUGCAAAUGUUUUGUUUGCGCUAUUCAUUAAUGGGCUCUACCCUGAGGUCAGUGGUCCAGUUUUAAAAUGGAGACUAAAUUAAAAGCCACCUAUCUAACUAAAAUUGGUCUCCUUAUAAAAUCCUCUGGUGAUUCUCAAUGAUUUUGUGUUACCUUAGUAUUCAUUUUAAUUUUCCUCUAACAUACCCAAAUUCUUUCUUCAAAAAGCUUAAAUUCUCUCUUUGUGCAUUGAGAUGUAAAUUUGCAACCCUGGUUUCUCUAAAACUCAAUAAGCACUUCAACCAUGCGGGACAAAUAAACUUUAUUUAAAAAUAUUUUUUAUUUUUUAUUCUUUUAGAGACAGGGUCUCACUCUGUCACCCAGGCUGGAGUGCAAUGUUAUGAUCCUAGCUCAGGGUCACCUCAAAUUCCUGGGCUGAAACUAUCCUCCCACCUCAGCUUCCCAAGUAGCUGGGACUCCAGGCACACACCGCCAUGCCUAACUAAUUUCUUUAUUUUUUAUGUUUUAGUAUAGACGGGGUCUUGCCUUGUUGCCCAGGCUAGUAUUGAACUCCUGGCUUCAAGUGAACCCCCUCCUGCGUGAGGCAUUGCACCCAGCCCAGACAAUCUUUAACUUGUUUCAUUUACAGAGGCACAAAUUAAUCUAACUGUCCUUUUAAACUAGUGAGUUUUAUCUGUCUCAUGACUAAAAUUUUAAAAUAAAAGCAAAUAUAGUUUACAUAUUUUCCCUACCCAAAUCUUAUGUUGAAUUGUAAUCCCGAAUGUUGGAAUUGGGGCCUGCUGGGUGGUGUUCGGGUCAUGGGGGUAGAUCUCUCAUGGCUUGAUGCUGUCCUCAGGAUAGUGACUGAGUUUUCCUGUAAUCUAGUUGGUUAAAGUGUGUGGCACCUCCCCCACUCUCUCUCUUGCUCCUGCUUUGCCAUGUGAAAUGCCUGCUCCCAUUUUGCUCUCUGCCAUGAGUAAAAGCUUCCUGAGGCCUCACGAGAGGCUGAGCAGAUGCCAGCACUAUGCUUCCUGUACAGCCUGCAGAAUCAUGAGCCAAUGAAAUCUCUUUUCUUUAUAAAUUACCCAGUCUCAAGUAUUUCGUUAUAAAACAGCCUAGCAAAAAAGCUAUAAAAUCUUUAUUUGUGUUUGUAUAUUAUGUAUAAAUGUGUAUAUGUCUGUGUUUGUAUAUUGUCUACAUGGUACUGAGUUGACUUAUAAAUAAAUGAGUACUCAUAAAUUAAAUAAUCUCAAAAUUUUUAAAUUCAUAUGACUUUAGUAACCUUUGAUAUAAAAAGCAGAUUUUUAAAUUGUUGGUAAAAUAAAAUAGAAAUGUCUUCAGAGUUUUAGACUUCUUUAUCUUAAUCUACUGGUCAAACAAAUGUAUGUUGUUUCUGCUAAAUGUUUUAAGGUCAAAAAACUUGUUUCUGUGAUAUUUUUGAUAAUUGCUUGAUUUGUCUUUAAGCAUAUGUCUUUGGUUUUGAGCCUUUAGAUUCCAGAGUCUAGACAGGUGGUCAUGGUGAGGCUUCCACAGCACCUAGACCACCAGCUGCAGGGUAGAGUCAAGCCCGAUACAUCCUCCCUGGCCCAGCUCUGCCUCCUGGCCAUGCUGGAAGGGGAUAGAUCCUCCAUUAACUGUCUUCGCAGCUCUGUCAUUUGUCCUGGGCUUUGCAUUUGAUACAUAACAAUUAAAAUUGCUUUACUUCCUAGCUUUCUCACUCGAAAUUGGGGUUACUAGAGUUAAAAUUGUAGAUAAUAUAUGUAAUUAAAACUACUAGAUAUAAGAGAAAUAAUUCUAUAUAAAGAGUGUACAAAGAAUGUAGGAUGUGUUUUGGGUGAGGAAGGUUAUAAGAAAAACAUGAAGCCAUAUGCUGUGGCUCAUGCCUGUAAUCCCAGCACUUUGGGAGGCUGAGGCAGGAGGACUGCUUGAGCCCAGGAGUUCACGACUAGCCUGGGCAACAUAGGGAGACCCCAUUUCUACACACACACAACUUGAGAAUGUGGUUUUUGUUAAAGGAAAAGUAUUUUUUUUCUAGUUUAGAGGUUAUUUGAAGGCUCCUUUAAGUUGAAAGGAUAAAAAAGAAUGACAGGAAAAACUGAAUGGAUAUAAAAAAUUGGGGAAAGAAAGAGAAUUGAAAAAAUUGUGAGAGAUUAUAAAAUGUUCAUGCAAAUCUUUUCUGUAGUCAAAGCUGAUUGAGAUUAGAUGGAUUUGUUUAUAUUUUAUUAAAUUAACUUUAGUGUUAAUAAUACACUGAUGAAAAGUACAAUUUGGUUUUCUCUUUUGAACAAGAUUUUCAUGUAGUACUAAUAAGAAAUGGUAAAAUAUUUGUUCACCUUUUCAGUAAAAAAGGAAGAAGACUUUGCCUCAUGCUGUCUUUAUUAGGUCUUUUGAUUGUUUGGAAAACUUGAUCUCCUCUCUAUCAAAUAGUAAAGGGUUUUUUUUCACUUUUUGAAAUCUUUUAAUUAUCAUUUUGACUAAAUGAAUGACUAAUAUUUUAUAGUGACUUGUGAUCUUAUUUUGAUAUCAAGUGUUUUAAACCUUUAAUAUUUGACAAACAUCCCAAAAUCAAAUUUCAAAUUCUAAAUUAAGUGUUUUUUAAGCUUGAACUAAAUAUUUGGACAUUCCAAAAAGAGCCCCUGGAAGUCCAAGAGAGACAUAUUAGGCUUAUUUGGUAUGUUAAAAUUAUAUGGGAAGCAUUGUCAAAUAAAAAGUGAUGUCUAACUUUCUUUGAGUUAUAUUCAUAUGGAUAUGUUAUUAAUGUAUUCCAAAAUUGUAUGAGAUUCCUAAAAUAUUAUAUAUCUUGGUAUAUUCAGUAAAUUGCUUAAUUCUGAUGCUCUUUUUCUAAAAGCUCUCUGUUCAUUCUAAAGUGAUGUGUCUUCAAGGAAGUUCAUGGGAAAGACUGAUAGGACACAAUUGAAAACACUGGUUAUAUUACAAAAGCUUUGACUGGUAAUUUUGUGUCAUAUUUUCAAAUGUGACCAGGCUGCUUUGAGGAAUUGCAGUUUACUUUAAAGCCAACAGACUUGGAAAAAGACUGGCCGGGUACCAUAUCUACACUGUUCCCUUACAGGGUUCCUGACCUUGUGAAAAGAAAACUGAGUAAUGACCUACAGACAUGGUUAAUCAGUUAUACCCUUCUCCUGACAUACAGCUAAUCACCAUAGACUAAUGCAGACCUCCUUAUGAAACAGGCGUUUCUACCUCCAAGGGAAAAAGAUAACAAAUCUUUGGCUGACCAACUGAUGUUUAUCAGCAAUGCUUCCUCACAUCAAAUCUUUAUCAAAAUGAAGAAAUGUGAAAUGUGAUAUACAAAACAGUAUCACUUGGUUCAGAGCUCUAAAAUGGAGUCAAGAAGCCACUCUAUUACUACCUACACAACAUGAAACCCUGCAGGAAAAAAAAAAAGGAACAGGAACUUGCCUUGAACCUUUGAACUGGGCUAAACUACAAUGACCACAUCUUAGAAAGCAGCUGAAUUUCACCAGCACUGCAACUCCUGCAUAGCAACAACCAAUGUACCAUGGACUUAUGUACUAAGCCAGCCACCUCCACCAAUGAUAAUUCUUUCAAAACAACUUGUGCAAUCACUCUCGGCAUCCUUUGAAAAAUUCCUACUCU
Long non-coding RNA from Homo sapiens (human), 3691 nucleotides. The record is from Ensembl. NCBI's taxonomy places the organism in Eukaryota, Metazoa, Chordata, Mammalia, Primates, Hominidae.